AGUGAACGCUGGCGGUAGGCCUAACACAUGCAAGUCGAACGGCAGCACAGUAAGAGCUUGCUCUUACGGGUGGCGAGUGGCGGACGGGUGAGGGAUACAUCGGAAUCUACUUUUUCGUGGGGGAUAACGUAGGGAAACUUACGCUAAUACCGCAUACGACCUACGGGUGAAAGCAGGGGAUCUUCGGACCUUGCGCGAUUGAAUGAGCCGAUGUCGGAUUAGCUAGUUGGCGGGGUAAAGGCCCACCAAGGCGACGAUCCGUAGCUGGUCUGAGAGGAUGAUCAGCCACACUGGAACUGAGACACGGUCCAGACUCCUACGGGAGGCAGCAGUGGGGAAUAUUGGACAAUGGGCGCAAGCCUGAUCCAGCCAUACCGCGUGGGUGAAGAAGGCCUUCGGGUUGUAAAGCCCUUUUGUUGGGAAAGAAAAGCAGCAGGUUAAUACCCCGCUGUUCUGACGGUACCCAAAGAAUAAGCACCGGCUAACGUCGUGC
RNAcentral lists this ribosomal RNA (493 nucleotides) under uncultured bacterium. Its description in RNAcentral is "partial 16S ribosomal RNA". It matches the Rfam family "Bacterial small subunit ribosomal RNA", at positions 29 to 508 of the family's 1533-position model. The record is from RNAcentral.